AGAGUUUGAUCCUGGCUCAGGACGAACGCUGGCGGCGUGCCUAAUACAUGCAAGUCGAGCGGACAGAAGGGAGCUUGCUCCCGGACGUUAGCGGCGGACGGGUGAGUAACACGUAGGUAACCUGCCCCUUAGACUGGGAUAACUCCGGGAAACCGGAGCUAAUACGGGAUAAUAAAGAGAAUCACCUGAUUUUCUUUUGAAAGACGGUUUCGGCUGUCACUAAGGGAUGGGCCUGCGGCGCAUUAGCUAGUUGGUAAGGUAACGGCUUACCAAGGCGACGAUGCGUAGCCGACCUGAGAGGGUGAUCGGCCACACUGGGACUGAGACACGGCCCAGACUCCUACGGGAGGCAGCAGUAGGGAAUCUUCCGCAAUGGACGAAAGUCUGACGGAGCAACGCCGCGUGAGUGAGGAAGGCCUUCGGGUCGUAAAGCUCUGUUGUGAGGGAAGAACAAGUACCGGGGUAACUACCGGUACCUUGACGGUACCUAACCAGAAAGCCACGGCUAACUACGUGCCAGCAGCCGCGGUA
This 531-nucleotide ribosomal RNA is filed under the name Bacillus sp. MF-A4. Its description in RNAcentral is "bacterial SSU rRNA". It matches the Rfam family "Bacterial small subunit ribosomal RNA", at positions 8 to 522 of the family's 1533-position model. The record is from RNAcentral. Lineage: Bacteria; Bacillati; Bacillota; Bacilli; Caryophanales; Bacillaceae.